RNAcentral lists this ribosomal RNA (465 nucleotides) under uncultured bacterium. RNAcentral describes it as "partial 16S ribosomal RNA". It matches the Rfam family "Bacterial small subunit ribosomal RNA", at positions 28 to 507 of the family's 1533-position model. The record is from RNAcentral.
GACGAACGCUGGCGGCGUGCUUAACACAUGCAAGUCGAACGGAAAGGCCCUGCUUGCAGGGUACUCGAGUGGCGAACGGGUGAGUAACACGUGGGUGAUCUGCCCUGCACUUCGGGAUAAGCCUGGGAAACUGGGUCUAAUACCGGAUAGGAGCCAUUUUUAGUGUGAUGGUUGGAAAGUUUUUUCGGUGUAGGAUGAGCUCGCGGCCUAUCAGCUUGUUGGUGGGGUAAUGGCCUACCAAGGCGGCGACGGGUAGCCGGCCUGAGAGGGUGGACGGCCACAUUGGGACUGGGAUACGGCCCAGACUCCUACGGGAGGCAGCGGUGGGGAAUAUUGCACAAUGGGCGCAAGCCUGAUGCAGCGACGCCGCGUGGGGGAUGACGGCCUUCGGGUUGUAAACUCCUUUCGCUAGGGACGAAGCUUUUUGUGACGGUACCUAGAUAAGAAGCACCGGCUAACUACGUG